RNAcentral lists this ribosomal RNA (253 nucleotides) under uncultured bacterium. Its description in RNAcentral is "partial 16S ribosomal RNA". It matches the Rfam family "Bacterial small subunit ribosomal RNA", at positions 524 to 776 of the family's 1533-position model. The record is from RNAcentral.
UACAGAGGUGCCAAGCGUUAGGCGGAAUCACUGGGCUUACAGGGUGCGUAGGCGGUCUGUUAAGUAGGGUGUGAAAGCCCCCGGCUCAACCGGGGAAUUGCGCCCUAAACUGGCGGACUGGAGUGAGAUAGGGGUGUGCGGAACUUCCGGUGGAGCGGUGAAAUGUGUUGAUAUCGGAAGGAACGCCGAUGGCGAAAGCGGCACACUGGAUCUCAACUGACGCUGAGGCACGAAAGCCAGGGGAGCGAACGGG